This 321-nucleotide small RNA is filed under the name Histoplasma ohiense. RNAcentral's name for it is "hypothetical lncRNA". The record is from RNAcentral. Lineage: Eukaryota; Fungi; Ascomycota; Eurotiomycetes; Onygenales; Ajellomycetaceae.
GACCCAGGGUGUGUGGGUUCGAAACCCACAGGGGACAACAUUACAUCCGGAGCCAACUUCUCAGCUCCUAAAAUAAUGGGAUGUGAACUUGCCAAGUAGGUACCUUCGGGCGGACCUACUACCUGAUUUAGCUUAUUGUUUCUGGGCUGGAAACCUGUAUUGCAUGUACCAAUCCUGUCUUUCAUUAAUUUUCCUAUGUUCUUGUUAUUCUUGGCGCUGUUCAACACUAAGCAUUCCUCCGGUAUAACCAACUCUUGCCUGUAUUUAACAUCACACAAGGACUCGUCAUAAGCGCUGCUUGCAUACGAGUAUAACGGAAGA